This 279-nucleotide ribosomal RNA is filed under the name uncultured bacterium. Its description in RNAcentral is "partial 16S ribosomal RNA". It matches the Rfam family "Bacterial small subunit ribosomal RNA", at positions 506 to 784 of the family's 1533-position model. The record is from RNAcentral.
UGCCAGCAGCCGCGGUAAUACUGAAGGUGCAAGCGUUAAUCGGAAUCACUGGGCGUAAAGCGCUCGUAGGUGGCUUUGUAAGUGGGAUGUGAAAGCCCCGGGCUCAACCUGGGAACUGCAUUCCAAACUGGCGAACUAGAGUAUGGUAGAGGGAGGUAGAAUUUCCUGUGUAGCGGUGAAAUGCGUAGAUAUAGGAAGGAAUACCGGUGGCGAAGGCGGCCUCCUGGACCAAUACUGACGCUGAGGUGCGAAAGCGUGGGGAGCAAACAGGAUUAGAUA